AAUGAACGUUGGCGGCAUGGAUUAGGCAUGCAAGUCGCGCGAUAAGAUUCCUUCGGGAAUCCGAAAGCGGCGAAAGGGAGAGUAACGCGUAGAUGAUCUACCCCGAGGACUGGGAUAGCGGCGGGAAACUGCCGGUAAUACCAGAUGAUGUCUCCGGACCAAAGGUGUGAUUCCGCCUUGGGAUGAAUCUGCGUCCUAUUAGCUAGUUGGUGAGGUAACGGCUCACCAAGGCGAAGAUGGGUACCGGGUGUGAGAGCAUGACCCGGCUCACUGGGACUGAGACACUGCCCAGACACCUACGGGUGGCUGCAGUCGAGAAUCUUCGGCAAUGGGCGAAAGCCUGACCGAGCAAUGCCGCGUACGGGAUGAAGGCCU
RNAcentral lists this ribosomal RNA (375 nucleotides) under uncultured bacterium. Its description in RNAcentral is "bacterial SSU rRNA". It matches the Rfam family "Bacterial small subunit ribosomal RNA", at positions 29 to 417 of the family's 1533-position model. The record is from RNAcentral.